CUCCUUGAACUAUUCAUCACUGUUUCCAGGAAAAGAAAUCGGGCCCGGCCUGAUGGUGCAACUGCUAUAAGGGGACAAAGAAAAGAAAACC
Molecule: long non-coding RNA, 91 nt
Filed under: Chinchilla lanigera (long-tailed chinchilla)
Lineage: Eukaryota; Metazoa; Chordata; Mammalia; Rodentia; Chinchillidae
Description: lncRNA (ENSCLAG00000026914.1)
Source: RNAcentral